CGGCACGUAGCGCAGCACGGUAGCGCACCGUCAUGGGGUGUCGGGGUCGGAGGUUCAAAUCCUCUCGUGCCGACCA
This 76-nucleotide transfer RNA is filed under the name Escherichia coli. RNAcentral's name for it is "tRNA-Pro". It matches the Rfam family "tRNA". From Rfam's summary of the family: Transfer RNA (tRNA) molecules are approximately 80 nucleotides in length. Their secondary structure includes four short double-helical elements and three loops (D, anti-codon, and T loops). Lineage: Bacteria; Pseudomonadati; Pseudomonadota; Gammaproteobacteria; Enterobacterales; Enterobacteriaceae. RNAcentral also lists the same sequence under 3 other names. The record is from RNAcentral.